This is a long non-coding RNA of Pseudopipra pipra, 5200 nucleotides long. RefSeq lists it as uncharacterized. Lineage: Eukaryota; Metazoa; Chordata; Aves; Passeriformes; Pipridae. The record is from RefSeq and is a predicted model, not a curated record. The transcript has 2 exons.
CCUCGGCGCGGCGGCGGCUCCUUCCGCUUCCUUCCCCUCCCCCCCGCGCUGCGGCGGCGCCCGCGCGCGGCAGCGCCCCCUGCCGGCGGAGCGCGGCGCGGCCGGGGCAGAUUCCCACGGCCCUGUGAAGGUGCGGUUGAGCAACAAGAGCUGGCGGAAUCCAAGAGGCAGCGCUUUUCCCCCCAUCGCUGCCCCACAGUCUCUCCUCCUGCCCGCUCUGGUGCUCACCUACACACAGGGUAAACCAGCAGGGACUUCCUAAACCACCAAGAAGCUGUUCCCGUUCCCGGUGUGUUAGUUUUCAGCUACAAAUUACCUGCACUGGCUCUCCGUGGGGCUGAGGAGAGGCAGCGUGUGAGACACGGGGAGGAGCGAACCCAUCCUCCUUUGGCAGCAGGAACGUUUUGGCAACGGCGUUAAACCAGUCAAACUGUAUUGUCUAACCACACCCUGCACCAGGAUUUGCCUUGAAUUCACUUAAAUAUUACGCUCUGGCUUCUUGCCUAAGCAGCAGUAAUGCCUAGUGAUGGGAAGGUAACAAAGAGCAACUGUUCAUGGUGUGGUGUUUCUUUCAGAUAAUGGUUCGUGCCAAGGAAAGGGAUAUUCCAUAUUCCCCACCUCUGCAUGCCCCCUUCUUUUCCCUGGAUUUAAUCCAGCCAUUGUGUGUCUACAGGAUAGUUCGGCUCUGUUGGCCUUGCAGAGGAAAAUUAACAAUAGGCAGAAAAGAAAAAAGCAGCCCAUGUGUAGUAAGGACUGAGAUCCAGCAGGCUUAAUAAGACCUCCACCCAAGAAGAUUUACAUUUAAACCUGGAGAAAGCUGCUUGCUUGGAAGCUGGCUGAGGCUCUACAUCCAUUCUGAUGUCCCCACUCGUGCAAUCCUUCCCCAAAGUAUCCUACAGCAGGAUUAAAUCAUUCCUAAGGGUAAAGGAACAUGCUCCUGCCUAGCAGCACCAUAUUGCCUUCUCCAACACAUUUUCACUUCCAGUUGGUCUCCCAUGCUCCUCAUACACCCUUCCCAAACUAUAUAUUCAUACUCCUGAUUCUCGUGGCCACAGCUUCCUCUGUGCUACAGCAUCUGCCUUGUACCAGUAACUGGUAGUUGUGUUUAUUAUGGGCAGCCUUGAGUAUUCCUCAUUUAUAGGGCAAUAACGAAUCCUCUGGCCUCAUCAAUGCUGGUAGUGGGAAAAAGAAAUACCAACCACAAAAACUGAACCACAACAGAACCACCUCCUAUUCUGAUCAAGGGAUAAUGGUGUUAGUGACAGCUUUUAGGCAAGUUAUAAUGAGAGAAGGUGAAAAAUAGUAGAUCAGCCCCCUCCCAAGUCAGCACUUUCCACAAAAUCAGGAGCUGAGAUGCUAUUUUAUAUCCCUCCAUGUCACUGAAACCUCAGCUCACGUUCAUGCAUGAAGUGCCCAAGACUGCAAGGACCAAGGUUCCUGCUUUCAGCAGCAACAUCGGUUUCUAUCUAUCCAAAUAAAACUGCUUCAUUGCUUCUCCUGUACUUAGAGCAAAUAUUUUAUUUACCACCCCCCCCCCCCCAAGAUUAACAAGGGUUAGAACCCAGGGCAAUUGAGAAGUUGCUCCUAAGGACACCUGGGUCAGUUGUGUGGCAGCUCUGCUCUCUUCACCCCGUGCCCCAGAGCAGCACUAACAAGCUGUUCCUGCUCCUGUCCUUGGCCACAGCUCUGGAGCUACCCUGGCUCUUAAACAGGGCACACAGGACAGGGGAGAUUAGAGCUGAGUUCAGCCCCAGAGGCUUAUCUGGUCUGGCUCAAGGGAAGCUGGACUGGCCUGGCUGGUCGUGUGGAAUCACUCCUGUGGCUGCACAGGGAGAAUUUUCCUAAAGCCAGCUCAGGGGCUGUCAGGUCAACAUCCACAGCAUGGCCCAAACCCAACACACCAUCCUGGGCUGGAUGGGAGUUGGCUCAGCACAACAUUCAGAAGUCUCUCUCUAAUUAUUUUACCAUCUCAGUAAUUUUAAAUUUUUUUUUUAAGUUGGCACGUUGGAUCUUGUAUUUACGUAUUUUUGAAAGGAAAAAAAAAAGCAUUUGCAUUCUUGUAGAUAGUUACAGAAAAUAAAGUUACAAAAGGAAAGGUUUUGUUGAGCCAGAAAGAAACAAAAAAAAAAAUUAACAGUUAAAACCAUUUUCUGCUUAGAUAUGCUAUGCAUCCUUCCACAGAAUCACUUCAUGAUUUGUUAUAGCUCCUCUGUUUUGCUCUCAGUUCUGCCUGCUGUAUUCCCUGCACAGCCCUACACUCUGAGUUUUUUUUUCCCCAUUCAUGCUACCAUAUAUACAGAACAAAGGCUGGAUUGCCCUUAAGAUUAUAAUCAACAAAGUGUUCUCUGUUUCACCUGAAGCAAAACGCUUAGAUAAAUAAUUUUGGUUUGUGUCUAACCUUUAACGAAAUGAAAACAAUUCUGCCUGAAGACACACUCCACUGACUCACUCAGGUGUGGUUUCAGUAGCCAGUUUACAUCAGAGACUACAGGCUUUUUGCCAUAACUUUUAUUAAAAUUUAGUGCCAUGGUAACAAAAUGCAUGCAUUUAGUAUUAUUUUUACUGCAUGAAAUACUACUUGGACAAAGACUUUACAGUAGUAUGGAAGUCAGCAUGUCAAAAAUAAUAAUAAAAUAUUACUAAACACAUAAUUGAAAAAAUGCAAUUGUGGCAAAUUGCACAUAAUUGUAUUUGGUCAUCUGGUCUAAUAUCCACUAAAAAUAAAUCCACUCCAGCCACAAAUUUAGAAUGCCUGGUUUUUAUGAUUAUUUUUUGUUUGUUUCUUCUGGGUGGGAACAAGGUAGGGGGAAACAAGUUUUAGCUCUUUGUUAAAGAGAAUGAAUCUCCAGUCACUGAGAAAGGAUAAGUACAUUGGACAAUUCAGGAGUCUGACAACCCACCCAGGUCACUGAGAGUUGAUUUUGGUUACUGGAAUAUGUGAUAUUCCAUGUUGAAAAAGCAAGUUGCCAAUCACAAAAGCUAAACAAAUUUCAGAAGUUAUUAGUUUAUUUACAUUUUAUGCCUGUAUAUUUAAAACAGCAGCAAUCUAAUCCAAAUUGGUCCAAGAGGUUGCAGUGAAGUAAUCUGAUACUUAUUUGUAAUAAUUAAAUGAAUUAGACUAUAUUCAGUACCAUGUAUAACCACUCCUCACAUAUGAGGCAUUCCCAUUUAAAUGGCUUUUUCUAAUUUCAGUAGAGGCUUCAAAGCCAGGUAGAUAUGAAAUGCCAGCUAGAUUGUAGCACAUUAUUGAAAAAAAAUCCAGAUUGGAAUUUAUUAAACAUAAAAGCAGCACACCUUUGCUCUUCAGAAUAUAUUCUUCUUCUCAGUUGAGUGAGGUUUUAUAUUUCAAAACUGAAAUACUGCUAAGAUAUUUCAACAAACCGUAUUUUUAUUUGCUUUACUGCUGCUACUUUGAGCACGUCAUUAUUCCAGGGCAUAACACUUGACUCCAGCUUCAAGAAAACAGCAAGAACCUGGAAGUCUCUGGAACAUUUCACAAUGUGAAACAGGAGUUUUGCCUAAAUGGGAUUAGAGUGGGAGCUGGAACUCCAUGGGCACGGUGUUUCCUCAGCUGCCUGACUGCAGUGUUCACAUCAGCACUGAGCUAUCUUACUCGAGGAGUUUUACCCUGACAGAUGUUAUGAACUCCUGUCCAAACACUCACUUUUAUCUUUCCUUUCUCCUUUAGAAGCUUCCCUUUGUUACCUGAUUGGAGCACUCUUAGGUAUUAGUGUUCUGCACUAAUACUCUGAAUUAUGUAUAACCUACAUAAAGACGUGUCAGGUCACAGAAUAUCCCUGUUACUGUUUUGACUGCCUUGCAUAUUCCUUCAGCUUCUACAGCACAGUAAAGGGCUCCAUUGUUACUCCAAACUGAACAGUAUGUAGUAUGUUCAAUAUAAACCAGAAGAACAUAAAUUAGCACUUUUCAAGGAAGAUGUAGGUGUUUAAAUAAAAUAAAUAAAUAAAUCAAUAAAUAUCUGGCAUAUUUCUGCCUUUAGGCACAUUCACUCCUAUCAGAAAGGUUGUUUUAAGACAAGCCUAGCUUGUGAUUAGGGCCCUCUCAUACAGGAUGUGAAAGAUUUAAAUAAAAUUUCAAACCAAUGGCCAUCAUACAGGAGUGGGGCCCAGCACUGCUGACAGUCUGAGAAGGGGAGAUCCCUGUUCAGGGCUCAGAUCCAGAGUGCAGGGGAGGCACUGCUCACAUUUAGGUUAAAAGUGUGACCAGGAAACUUCCCGUGUUCUGGAGAAGGUUUGCAGAGCAGAAGGCCACAAAGUGCCUCCCUGAUCUGUCUCUUUUUCAGCAUCUCCAGCCAGAGCCCAGGCAGAGCAGGCUCUGCACUGAGUGUGCAAAGCCAAGGUCACACAACGAGUUCAGAUUACUCCUGACCCAGUUUAAGAGACAGAUUAUCUCCACUACACUGCUUGGUUGGAAAGCAAAUUAAUUACCCUCCAAACAAAUGAGGUAAGAAAGAGCACACUUCCCUUGCUAAAAAUUAUUCAGAAGACAGCUCACUCAAAGAAGAGUUCACAGCUAUAAAAAACCCCAGAGGUGAGGAGUUAGAACAGCCUUUCACAGGCCAAGGGCAGCAAUAAAUGUCUUAUUUCUUGCUUCUACAGUUAAAGUGUAAACCUCAGUACUGGCCUAAAGAUUUAAUUGAAAAUACUGACUGAAUUAAGAGUUGCCAGUUGAUUAGCAUUUCGGUGUGUGUGAGUGUUUUUCCUUUGAUACAACUGAAAAAUCUCAAAGUAAUCUUUUGGUCUCAAAGAGAAAAGUGUGUGUAUUGGUGGGAACAAAAAUGCAUUCACAGCGUGUGAGCAAGGGCUGCAUCUCUGAUCAUCUGGGUUUGGCAUUUGAACAGACACCCAGGGGAAGUGGUGGGGGGGGGGAAAAAAAGCAAUGUAUCCCCAUGGUAACCAGGACAUCUUGUUUUAGCAUGUACAUUAAAAAAGCACACUGGACAGAACAAAAUUAGUCAUCCAGAAAAAUAUUCAUUUCUGGGCAAAGCUAUGCAUGAACAAUGAAAAUGAAAAGCUCUUGGCAGUGUCCUGUGAGAUAUGAGACAAAAAUGGCUAUUUUUCAUUUUUGACAGCUGACAAUUUCAGUUUUUUCUUACUCGUAUGAAUCAAAUGCCUCCUCUCCUCUGCUCUCUUUAUUCUUCUCAACAAAGUACUUUUAGAUUUACUUUCUCCUGAGGUAA